Molecule: ribosomal RNA, 241 nt
Filed under: uncultured bacterium
Lineage: Bacteria
Description: partial 16S ribosomal RNA
Rfam family: Bacterial small subunit ribosomal RNA
Source: RNAcentral
GAUCCUGGCUCAGGAUGAACGCUAGCUAUAGGCUUAACACAUGCAAGUCGAGGGGCAGCAUGAACUUAGCUUGCUAAGUUUGAUGGCGACCGGCGCACGGGUGAGUAACACGUAUCCAACCUGCCGAUGACACGGGGAUAGCCUUUCGGAAGAAAGAUUAAUACCCGAUGGCAUAGUUCUUCCGCAUGGUAGAACUAUUAAAGAAUUUCGGUCAUCGAUGGGGAUGCGUUCCAUUAGGUUG